GAUGAACGCUGGCGGCGUGCCUAAUACAUGCAAGUCGAGCGAACGGACGAGAAGCUUGCUUCUCUGAUGUUAGCGGCGGACGGGUGAGUAACACGUGGAUAACCUACCUAUAAGACUGGGAUAACUUCGGGAAACCGUAGCUAAUACCGGAUAAUAUUUUGAACCGCAUGGUUCAAAAGUGAAAGACGGUCUUGCUGUCACUUAUAGAUGGAUCCGCGCUGCAUUAGCUAGUUGGUAAGGUAACGGCUUACCAAGACAACGAUGCAUAGCCGACCUGAGAGGGUGAUCGGCCACACUGGAACUGAGACACGGUCCAGACUCCUACGGGAGGCAGCAGUAGGGAAUCUUCCGCAAUGGGCGAAAGCCUGACGGAGCAACGCCGCGUGAGUGAUGAAGGUCUUCGGAUCGUAAAACUCUGUUAUUAGGGAAGAACAUAUGUGUAAGUAACUGUGCACAUCUUGACGGUACCUAAUCAGAAAGCCACGGCUAACUACGUG
Molecule: ribosomal RNA, 497 nt
Filed under: uncultured bacterium
Lineage: Bacteria
Description: partial 16S ribosomal RNA
Rfam family: Bacterial small subunit ribosomal RNA
Source: RNAcentral